GUUGCUCACAUGGCUUGUAUCCUGACUCCUCUGCAUAGUUUGUGUCCUUAGAUGAAUUGAAAAGGACUGAAAAACCUUCUGUUGCUGGGAACACUGCUUGGGGGGCAGGAACUGAAAUCCCAAGUCACUGAGCCCCCUGGAAGGGACCCCAAGGUGAAUUCGUGAUGUUCCCUGUGAGCCAGGGAGACCUCAAAUAUCCUCCCCUUUGAUGGCAGGCUGGGGAGAUGGGGAUUGUCUGUGUUCUACUCAAAUGGUAAAAGCAGCACCUUUGGUCACUGGCUUCCAGAAAUCAGGAAUGACACAUGGAAGGAAUUUUAUGGUAUUUUGUCUUACCAUAAAACUUAAACUUGGAGUUCCUAUUGUGGUGCAGCAGACACAAAUCCCACUAGGAACCAUGAGGUUGUGGGUUUGAUCCCUGGCCUCGAUCAGUGGGUUAAGGAUCCUGAGUUGCUGUGGCUGUGGGCAGGCUGGCAGCUGUAACUCCGAUUUGACUCCUAGCCUGGGAACGUCCAUAUCUGGUGAGUGAGACCCUAAAAAGCGAAAAAACCAAAACCAAAAACAAAAAAAAAACUUCAACUUACUUGUUUAAGUCUUUAAUCCAUUUUGAGUUUAUUUUUGUGUAUGGCGUGAGGGUGUGUUCUAGUUUCAUUGAUUUACAUGCAUGUGUCCAAUUUUCCCAGCACCACUUUCUGAAGAGACUUUCUUUUUCCCAUUUUAUAUUCUUGUCUCCUUUGUGAAGAUUAAUUGACCAUAGGUGUCUGGGUUUAUUUCUGCAUUCUCUAUUCUUUUUCGGUCUUUUCUAGGGCCACACCCACAGCAUACAGAGGUUGCCAGGCUAGGGGUCUAAUCGGAUCUGUAGCUGCCAGCCUAUGUCACAGCCACAGCAACUCGGGAUCCAAGCAACAUCUGCAACCUAUACCACAGCUUGAGGCAACAUCGGAUCCUUAACCCACUAGAAAGGCCAGGGAUCAAACCCACAACCUCAUGGUUCCUAGUCGGAUUUGUUAACCACUGAGACACGACAGGAACUCCUGGGUUCUCUAUUCUGUUCCAUUGGUCUGUAUGUCUGUUUUGAUACCAGUACCAUACUGUCUUGAUUACUGUAGCUUUGUAAUAUCACCUGAAGUCUGGGAGAGUUAUGCCUCCUGCUUGGUUUUUGUUCCUCAAGAUCGCUAUGGCAAUUCUGGGUCUUUUAUGGUUCCAAUUAAAUUUUUGAAUUGUUUGUUAUAGUUCUGUGA
Molecule: long non-coding RNA, 1238 nt
Filed under: Sus scrofa (pig)
Lineage: Eukaryota; Metazoa; Chordata; Mammalia; Artiodactyla; Suidae
Description: lncRNA (ENSSSCG00070001807.1)
Source: RNAcentral